GGGUCAGUAGGUUGGUCGUGCCACCGGUACGUACUGGUCUCACUGAUUACUCCUUCCUGAAGAACCGUAAUGCCAUUAAUUUGGUGUUGCGGGGAAACAGGACUGCUACUUUGAAAAAAUUAGAGUGUUUAAAGCAAGCUAACGCUUGAAUACAUUAGCAUGGAAUAAUGAAAUAGGACGAUCGAUCCUAUUUUGUUGGUUUCUAGGAUUGACGUA
This 216-nucleotide ribosomal RNA is filed under the name Glomeromycotina sp. RNAcentral's name for it is "partial small subunit ribosomal RNA". The stretch from base 40 to 216 matches the Rfam family "Eukaryotic small subunit ribosomal RNA", at positions 686 to 864 of the family's 1831-position model. Lineage: Eukaryota; Fungi; Glomeromycota. The record is from RNAcentral.